Suncus etruscus (white-toothed pygmy shrew) is the source of this 164-nucleotide small nuclear RNA. RefSeq annotates it as U1 spliceosomal RNA. The transcript has a single exon. NCBI's taxonomy places the organism in Eukaryota, Metazoa, Chordata, Mammalia, Eulipotyphla, Soricidae. The record is from RefSeq and is a predicted model, not a curated record.
AUACUUACCUGGCAAGGGAGAUACCAUGAUCACAAAGGUGGUUUUUGAAGAGUGAGGCUUAUCCAUUGCACUCCGGAUGUGCUGACCCCUGCGAUUUCCCCAAAUGUGGGAAACUAACCUGAGUAAUUUGUGGUAGUGGGGAACUGUGAUCACUCUCUCCCCUA